UGGGGAAUUUUCCGCAAUGGGCGAAAGCCUGACGGAGCAAUACCGCGUGAGGGAGGAAGGCUCUUGGGUUGUAAACCUCUUUUCUCAAGGAAGAAGAAAGUGACGGUACUUGAGGAAUCAGCAUCGGCUAACUCCGUGCCAGCAGCCGCGGUAAUACGGAGGAUGCAAGCGUUAUCCGGAAUCAUUGGGCGUAAAGCGUCCGCAGGUGGCAGCUCAAGUCUGCUGUCAAAGACAGAAGCUCAACUUCUGAGCGGCAGUGGAAACUGAGAAGCUAGAGUACGGUAGGGGCAGAGGGAAUUUCCAGUGUAGCGGUGAAAUGCGUAGAGAUUGGAAAGAACACCAGUGGCGAAAGCGCUCUGCUGGGCCUGUACUGACACUGAGGGACGAAAGCUAGGGGAGC
This 400-nucleotide ribosomal RNA is filed under the name uncultured bacterium. Its description in RNAcentral is "bacterial SSU rRNA". It matches the Rfam family "Bacterial small subunit ribosomal RNA", at positions 355 to 769 of the family's 1533-position model. The record is from RNAcentral.